GAACCUAGAAGCACAGAGUUGUUCUUUCCCCAGCGUUUGCAGUUCCUCAGAAUAGCUCUGUUAGGUUUCCUGCUGGAAAAAGAGUGGCCUGCAGUACAAGCGAAUGCCUUCUCAUCUGCUUUUCCUUGCCUUGCUCUGUUCUUGAAAGCCCUGGGAGAAAAUUGUUGUUUUUUUCAUAGUUUUGUUCCAUCUAGUCAAGAUCGAUUUUGGUGCUGAUAAUCGCAACUGAGCAAUCUAUUUUUCGACAGAGAUGUAGCCGCUGCUCCAAAAAAUACAGGGCCAAGACUUGUAACAAAUAUUCAUGAGGGUUUCAGUGUACAUGACAGUGAUCUAAAGGAGAAUUACUGUACCUCUAUUCCAUGAACCAUGGCACAGAGAUGUUUACCCUGCAUCUGCACCACGGAGGUGGAGAUGCUUGGGUGGAAAGGCUGCAGUUUUGUUCAACUUCACCCAUUUUUGAGGUAAAGUACCAUGGAGUGUACCUGAGACUGAGGCACUGUUGCAAUACAAAAUUAUUGUCAGUGUCACAUCGUGUUUGAGAUUAAUUUAGCCAUAGGUCUUGUUGUCUGAAAGAUUUAAGAGUAACAUUUUAAAUGAGAGUCCCAACUAUGUAUUUAAUUUAGAUUUAAUAUGGCAGUUAUUUGUUCUGCUAAUAAAAACCCCAUUGCAUAUUAAAAACA
RNAcentral lists this long non-coding RNA (680 nucleotides) under Numida meleagris (helmeted guineafowl). Its description in RNAcentral is "lncRNA (ENSNMEG00000020154.1)". The record is from RNAcentral. Lineage: Eukaryota; Metazoa; Chordata; Aves; Galliformes; Numididae.